This 505-nucleotide ribosomal RNA is filed under the name uncultured bacterium. Its description in RNAcentral is "partial 16S ribosomal RNA". It matches the Rfam family "Bacterial small subunit ribosomal RNA", at positions 28 to 523 of the family's 1533-position model. The record is from RNAcentral.
GAUGAACGCUAACUACAGGCUUAACACAUGCAAGUCGAGGGGUAACGAGAGGGAAGCUUGCUUUCCUUGUCGACGACCGGCGCACGGGUGAGUAACGCGUAUCCAACCUGCCCCCAACUAGGGAAUAACCUUGCGAAAGUAAGACUAAUACCCUAUAAUUUCCUCAGAUGUCAUCUGACGAGGAAUAAAGAUUUAUCGGUUGUGGAUGGGAUGCGUCUGAUUAGCUUGUUGGCGGGGUAACGGCCCACCAAGGCAACGAUCAGUAGGGGUUCUGGGAGGAAAGUCCCCCACAUUGGAACUGGGACACGGUCCAAACUCCUACGGGAGGCAGCAGUGAGGAAUAUUGGUCAAUGGGCGGAAGCCUGAACCAGCCAAGUAGCGUGCAGGAUGACGGCCCUAUGGGUUGUAAACUGCUUUUAUACAGGAAUAAAGUUAGCCACGUGUGGUUAUUUGUAGGUACUGUAUGAAUAAGGACCGGCUAAUUCCGUGCCAGCAGCCGCCGUAA